CCUACGGGAGGCAGCAGUGAGGAAUUUUCCGCAAUGGGCGAAAGCCUGACGGAGCAAUGCCGCGUGAAGGAUGAAGGCCUAUGGGUUGUAAACUUCUUUUCUCAGAGAAGAAAUUUUGACGGUAUCUGAGGAAUAAGCAUCGGCUAACUCUGUGCCAGCAGCCGCGGUAAGACAGAGGAUGCAAGCGUUAUCCGGAAUGAUUGGGCGUAAAGUGUCUGUAGGUGGCUUAAAAAGUCUCCUGUCAAAGAUCAGGGCUUAACCCUGGGCCGGCAGGAGAAACUCUUAGGCUAGAGUUUGGUAGGGGCAGAGGGAAUUCCCGGUGGAGCGGUGAAAUGCGUAGAGAUCGGGAGGAACACCAAAGGCGAAAGCACUCUGCUGGGCCACAACUGACACUCAGAGACGAAAGCGAGGGGAGCAAAAGGGAUUAGAUACCCCUGUAGUCCUCGCCGUAAACGAUGGAUACUAGAUGUUGGAUAGGUUAAAUCAUUCAGUAUCGUAGCUAACGCGUGAAGUAUCCCGCCUGGGGAGUAUGCUCGCAGAGUGAAACUCAAAGAUAGUAGACGUGAGAGAGCGACGACGACGACGACGGAGGAGAG
This 596-nucleotide ribosomal RNA is filed under the name uncultured bacterium. RNAcentral describes it as "bacterial SSU rRNA". It matches the Rfam family "Bacterial small subunit ribosomal RNA", at positions 338 to 948 of the family's 1533-position model. The record is from RNAcentral.